UAUGAACCUUGCACUGGAAGAAUGGUUGAGUUUUGAGUUUCCUUCCAUGUGACUCGUGUCAGA
MicroRNA precursor from Gadus morhua (Atlantic cod), 63 nucleotides. The record is from Ensembl. NCBI's taxonomy places the organism in Eukaryota, Metazoa, Chordata, Actinopteri, Gadiformes, Gadidae.